This 493-nucleotide ribosomal RNA is filed under the name uncultured bacterium. RNAcentral describes it as "bacterial SSU rRNA". It matches the Rfam family "Bacterial small subunit ribosomal RNA", at positions 903 to 1397 of the family's 1533-position model. The record is from RNAcentral.
AAAGGAAUAGACGGGGACCCGCACAAGCAGCGGAGCAUGUGGUUUAAUUCGAAGCAACGCGAAGAACCUUACCAGAGCUUGACAUCCCUCUGACCGGUCGGUAAAACGGCCUUCUCUUCGGAGCAGAGGUGACAGGUGGUGCAUGGUUGUCGUCAGCUCGUGUCGUGAGAUGUUGGGUUAAGUCCCGCAACGAGCGCAACCCUUGUCACUAGUUGCCAUCAUUCAGUUGGGCACUCUAGCGAGACUGCCGGGGAUAACUCGGAGGAAGGUGGGGAUGACGUCAAAUCAUCAUGCCCCUUAUGUUCUGGGCUACACACGUGCUACAAUGGCCGGUACAACGAGCUGCGAACCCGCGAGGGGGAGCCAAUCUCACAAAACCGGUCCCAGUUCGGAUUGCAGGCUGCAACUCGCCUGCAUGAAGUCGGAGUUGCUAGUAAUCGCGAAUCAGCAUGUCGCGGUGAAUGCGUUCCCGGGUCUUGUACACACCGCCCGU